CGGGGUGGAGUAAUGUCUGGGAAACUGCCUGAUGGAGGGGGGUAACUACUGGAAACGGUAGCUAAUACCGCAUAAUGUCGCAAGACCAAAGAGGGGGACCUUCGGGCCUCUUGCCAUCGGAUGUGCCCAGAUGGGAUUAGCUAGUAGGUGGGGUAACGGCUCACCUAGGCGACGAUCCCUAGCUGGUCUGAGAGGAUGACCAGCCACACUGGAACUGAGACACGGUCCAG
RNAcentral lists this ribosomal RNA (230 nucleotides) under uncultured bacterium. Its description in RNAcentral is "partial 16S ribosomal RNA". It matches the Rfam family "Bacterial small subunit ribosomal RNA", at positions 104 to 334 of the family's 1533-position model. The record is from RNAcentral.